RNAcentral lists this long non-coding RNA (230 nucleotides) under Elaeis guineensis (African oil palm). RNAcentral describes it as "long non-coding RNA (EGUI_LNC018325)". The record is from RNAcentral. Lineage: Eukaryota; Viridiplantae; Streptophyta; Magnoliopsida; Arecales; Arecaceae.
AGGGCCAUUAUCUCUACUUAUCAUCUAUUGGUGCAUUUUUCGACUAAGAAAAGGGUUGGUGAAAUGCGUGGCGACUGGACGGUAGCUCGAUAGUAUUUUAUGAUUUCUACUAAACUGAACUAAUCAAUGAAAACUGUGCCAGUUGAUAUACCAAACACAUUGGAUGAGAUUAAAAAAAUUUGAGGUGAACUGAUAGAAAAGCUUGAAGCCAUUCCUUUGAGAGAUGAUCC